RNAcentral lists this ribosomal RNA (3032 nucleotides) under Planctomycetota bacterium. RNAcentral's name for it is "23S ribosomal RNA". It matches the Rfam family "Bacterial large subunit ribosomal RNA". Lineage: Bacteria; Pseudomonadati; Planctomycetota. The record is from RNAcentral.
GGCCAAGCUAUUAAGGGUACAUGGUGAAUGUCUAGGCGUGACGAGGCGAAGAAGGACGUGAUAGGCUGCGAUAAGCCCAGGGGAGCCGUCAAAUAGGCUUUGAUCCUGGGAUGUCCGAAUGGGGAAACCCGUCGCCACAGUGCAAGCUGAUGGCGUCACCGGCGGAUGAAUGUAUAGUCCGUCGGAGCCAACGCAGGGAAUUGAAACAUCUCAGUACCUGCAGGAAAAGAAAUCAACCGAGACUCCGCAAGUAGCGGCGAGCGAACGCGGACAAGCCCAAACCGCCCUUCGGGGCGGGGUUGCGGNNNNNNNNNNNNNNNNNNNNNNNNNNNNCCGCAAGUAGCGGCGAGCGAACGCGGACAAGCCCAAACCGCCCUUCGGGGCGGGGUUGCGGGCGCUGAUCAGGAGUUACAAAGGCAGCGGCAGUUGAACAGGCUGGGAAGCCUGGCGAUACAGGGUGAUAGCCCCGUAAACCAAACCGCCUGCCCUCCGUUACGGUCAGCGUACCAGAGUAGCGCGGAUGCCGUGGAACUCCGCGUGAAGCUGGGGGGCCCACCCUCCAAGGCUAAGUACUCCGUCACGACCGAUAGCGCUUAGUAAGGCGACUGAAAGAUGAAAAGAACCCCUAUUAGGGGAGUUAAAAGAACCUGAAACCAUGUACUUACAGGUUGUCGGAGCCCUAUGCUCCUGGCUUGCCGGGAGAACGGGUGACGGCGUGCCUUUUGCAUAAUGAACCGGCGAGUUACCGUUUGCAGCUCGGCUAAGCGUCUAAGGCGCGGAGUCAAAGCGAAAGCGAGUCUGAACAGGGCGACACAGUUGCAGGCGGUAGACCCGAAACUGGGUGAUCUACCCAUGGUCAGGUUGAAGCGACCGUAAAAGGUCGCGGAGGACCGAACCCAUUAACGUUGAAAAGUUAUGGGAUGAACUGUGGGGAGGAGUAAAAGUCUAAUCAAACCCAGCGAUAUCUGGUUCUCUCCGAAAUAGCUUUUGGGCUAGCCUCGAGAGACAUACGUAUUGGGGGUAGAGCACUGGCUGAAACGCGGGGCCCACCAGGCUGCCGCCUUCAAUCAAACUCCGAAUACCAAUACGUUUAUCUCGGGAGUAAGACUACGAGGGAUAACCUUCGUGGUCGAGAGGGAAACAACCCAGAUCGCCGGCUAAGGUCCCCAAUCCAUGCUCAGUGCGUAAGGAAGUCGGAUUGCUGUGACAGCCAGGAUGUUGGCUUAGAAGCAGCCAUCAUUUAAAAAGUGCGUAACAGCUUACUGGUCGAGCAACUCGGCGCCGAUAAUGAUCGGGACUAAGCAUGGUACCGAAGCCGCGGACUUCUCCAGCUUGCUGGAGAAGUGGUAGGAGAGCGUAGCCGUCAGCAACGAAGGCGUACCGUAAGGAGCGCUGGAGCGGCGGCUAGUGAGAAUGCCGGUAUGAGUAACGAGAAAACAGGUGAAAAUCCUGUUCGCCGAAAGCCUAAGGUUUCCUGGGGAAGGUAAAUCCGCCCAGGGUUAGUCGGACCCUAAGUUGAGGCCGAAAGGCGUAGACGAUGGACAGCAGGUUAAUAUUCCUGCACUACGCGUGGCGGUUGAUCCGCAGAUGACACAUCUACAAGCUGGAUCCUCCCGUUAGUCGUGGAGGUUGGGAGCCCGGAAACGGGUUACCUCGUGCCCGAUUUGUUGGUGAAGUCCAGAGCGCAGGUGUCGAGAAAAGCUCUGCGGUGACAAAACGCGUAUCCGUACUAAAACUGACACAGGUAGGCGAGGAGAGUAUCCUAAGGCGCUCGAGAGAACUGUUGUUAAGGAACUAGGCAAUUUGACCCCGUACCUUCGGAAUAAGGGGUCCCUCCCGAUCGGUUUACUUAACUGUGGACCCUUCGGAGGGCGCAGAGAAUCGGAUCUGGCGACUGUUUAUCAAAAACACAGGACUCUGCCAACUCGCAAGAGGAUGUAUAGAGUCUGACGCCUGCCCGGUGCCGGAAGGUCACGGAAGCAGGUCAUUGGGGAGCAAUCCCUGAGAAGCUUGCAACCUAAGCCCCGGUAAACGGCGGCCGUAACUAUGACGGUCCUAUGGUAGCGAAGUUCCUUGUCGGGUAAGUUCCGACGUGCAUGAAUGGCGUAACGACUGGAUCCCUGUCUCAACAACAGACUCGGUGAAAUUACAGACGCGGUGAAGAUGCCGUGUUCCCGUGGCAAGACGGAAAGACCCCGUGAACCUUUACUGCAGCCUGGCAUUGACGCUUUGUGCUGCCUGCGUAGGAUAGGUGGGAGGCGUUGAACCCUCGGUCUCGGCCGGGGGGGAGCCAUCGUUGAAAUACCACCCUUGUAUCACGAAGCGCCUAACCUCGUACCGUGAAUCCGGGCGAGGGACCGUGCUUGGUGGGCAGUUUGUCUGGGGCGGACUCCUCCUAAAGAGUAACGGAGGAGCCCAAAGGCAUCCUCAGUACGGUUGGCAAUCGUACGUAGAGUGCAAAGGCAUAAGGAUGCUUGACUGCGAGACCAAUGCGUCGAGCAGAUGUGAAAGCAGGGCUUAGUGACCCAGCGGUCCCGUGUGGAAGGGCCGUUGCUUAACAGAUAAAAGGUACUCCGGGGAUAACAGGCUGAUCGCCUCCGAGCGUCCAUAGCGGCGAGGCGGUUUGGCACCUCGAUGUCGGCUCAUCACAUCCUGGGGCUGAAGGCGGUCCCAAGGGUUCGGCUGUUCGCCGAUUAAAGUGGUACGCGAGCUGGGUUCAGACCGGCGCGAGCCAGGUCGGUCCCUAUCUGCCAUGGGCGUAGGAAUAUUGCGUGGACUCUUCUUCAGUACGAGAGGACCUUGAAGGACCAACCUCUGGUGAACCAGUUGUCGCGCUAGCGGCACCGCUGGGUAGCUACGUUGGGAACGGAUAACCGCUGAAGGCAUCUAAGCGGGAAGCUAACCACAAGAUUAAUAUUCCAUUCGUCCUCGGACGAGAGAGCCCCCAUCUAGACCAGGUGGUUGAUAGGCCGGAUGUGUAAGGACAGAAAUGUCUUAAGCUUACCGGUACUAAUGGGCGAUUGCUUGGCCGC